AGAGUUUGAUCCUGGCUCAGGAUGAACGCUGGCGGCGUGCUUAACACAUGCAAGUCGAACGAACCUUCGGGUUAGUGGCGGACGGGUGAGUAACGCGUGAGAAUCUGCCCUCAGGAGGGGGACAACAGCUGGAAACGGCUGCUAAUACCCCAUAUGCCGUGAGGUGAAAUGAAUUUCGCCUGAGGAUGAGCUCGCGUCUGAUUAGCUAGUUGGUGUAGGUAAUGGCUCACCAAGGCAUCGGUCAGUAGCUGGUCUGAGAGGAUGAUCAGCCACACUGGGACUGAGACACGGCCCAGACUCCUACGGGAGGCAGCAGUGGGGAAUUUUCCGCAAUGGGCGAAAGCCUGACGGAGCAACGCCGCGUGAGGGAUGAAGGCCUCUGGGCUGUAAACCUCUUUUAUCAAGGAAGAAGAUCUGACGGUACUUGAUGAAUAAGCCACGGCUAAUUCCGUGCCAGCAGCCGCGGUAAUACGGGAGUGGCAAGCGUUAUCCGGAAUUAUUGGGCGUAAAGCGUCCGCAGGCGGCCCUUCAAGUCUGCUGUUAAAAAGUGGAGCUUAACUCCAUCAUGGCAGUGGAAACUGUUGGGCUUGAGUGUGGUAGGGGCAGAGGGAAUUCCCGGUGUAGCGGUGAAAUGCGUAGAUAUCGGGAAGAACACCAGUGGCGAAGGCGCUCUGCUGGGCCAUCACUGACGCUCAUGGACGAAAGCCAGGGGAGCGAAAGGGAUUAGAUACCCCUGUAGUCCUGGCCGUAAACGAUGAACACUAGGUGUCGGGGGAAUCGACCCCCUCGGUGUCGUAGCCAACGCGUUAAGUGUUCCGCCUGGGGAGUACGCACGCAAGUGUGAAACUCAAAGGAAUUGACGGGGGCCCGCACAAGCGGUGGAGUAUGUGGUUUAAUUCGAUGCAACGCGAAGAACCUUACCAGGGUUUGACAUCCUGCGAAUCUCUUGGAAACAGGAGAGUGCCUUCGGGAACGCAGUGACAGGUGGUGCAUGGCUGUCGUCAGCUCGUGUCGUGAGAUGUUGGGUUAAGUCCCGCAACGAGCGCAACCCACGUCUUUAGUUGCCAGCAUUUAGUUGGGCACUCUAGAGAGCCUGCCGGUGAUAAACCGGAGGAAGGUGUGGAUGACGUCAAGUCAUCAUGCCCCUUACAUCCUGGGCUACACACGUACUACAAUGCUACGGACAAAGGGCAGCAAGUUCGCGAGGACAAGCAAAUCCCAUAAACCGUGGCUCAGUUCAGAUCGUAGGCUGCAACUCGCCUACGUGAAGGCGGAAUCGCUGGUAAUCGCAGGUCAGCAUACUGCGGUGAAUACGUUCCCGGGCCUUGUACACACCGCCCGUCACACCAUGGAAGUUGGCCACGCCCGAAGCCGUUACUCCAACCCUUGUGGAGGAGGACGUCGAAGGUGGGGCUGAUGACUGGGGUGAAGUCGUAACAAGGUACCG
RNAcentral lists this ribosomal RNA (1447 nucleotides) under uncultured bacterium. Its description in RNAcentral is "bacterial SSU rRNA". It matches the Rfam family "Bacterial small subunit ribosomal RNA". The record is from RNAcentral.